Non-coding RNA from Pteropus alecto (black flying fox), 119 nucleotides. NCBI's taxonomy places the organism in Eukaryota, Metazoa, Chordata, Mammalia, Chiroptera, Pteropodidae. The record is from Rfam.
GUCUACGGCCAUGCUACCCUGAACAAGCCCAAUGCCAUCUGAUCUCAGAAGCUAUGCAGGCUCGGGCCUAGUUAGUACUUGGAUGGGAGACCACCUAGGAAGACCAGGUGCUGUAGGCG